Molecule: long non-coding RNA, 693 nt
Filed under: Bos taurus (domestic cattle)
Lineage: Eukaryota; Metazoa; Chordata; Mammalia; Artiodactyla; Bovidae
Description: long non-coding RNA NONBTAT005883
Source: RNAcentral
GGAAGUUUCAGCAUAAGGACCACUGUCCCAGGAAACUUCCUCAUGCUCCAAAUAAAUGUUUUUUUCUUAGAAUAUUAUAUGCCUUUCCUAAAUACAAUGGUUGUUCUGAUUAUUGCACUUAAAAUUGGGAUGUUGGAGUAUAUUUUCAGCAUUCUGUUAAACAGUAAAGUACUGUGUAGAUAAAAUGGUAUUAAAAAAUAUUGUUACCAAGUGUCAUCAUGUAAUAUGACUGAAAAUCCUAACUGUGUGGAACUACUUGUUUUCUAUGAAAAUGGUCUAAAGAUUAAGUAGUGAGAAAUGAUAUAAAUAUAGAAAACCCUUCAUCUGGUCCUUUAAUUUUAUUUAAGAUCAGAAGGGAUGUCCUAACUUAUUGGUGAAAAUUCAACUCAAAAAUGGAUCUUUCCCCCAAAAUCUUUGCAGAUUCAUAGGGUGUCUUGGGCUUCUGGGCCCAUGUGGGCUUAGGAGGUGACUUUGUACUCAGAGCCCAGACCUCACAGCUGCUGUACCACCUGGGUGCCUCUUUUUUUACACAUUAUGAUGUUUCCCAGAAAUGUUACUAAAAAAGUCUUUGGCACACACUUCUAAAACAAAAUUCUCAAAUAGCUUUUUGUUUACUAUUUCUAAUAUUUCUAUUCCUAUGAUGAAGGGUUUUCUUCAUUUUUUACUUCUAGUUCCAAGAGAGUCUAGUAUCUG